Molecule: long non-coding RNA, 674 nt
Filed under: Capsella grandiflora
Lineage: Eukaryota; Viridiplantae; Streptophyta; Magnoliopsida; Brassicales; Brassicaceae
Description: long non-coding RNA (CGRA_LNC000006)
Source: RNAcentral
CACUCCUUUUCACGACGCCGUUUCUGGAUCUGUUAAAUCAGCUUCUUCCUUCGUCAACGACGACGAUGAUGAUGACGGUGAAGCUGCUUCUUGGCUUUUACCUAAAGAAGGAGGAGAAACUGAGAUCUCUAAAUUUUUUACCGAUCUUGAGUAUCCGAAGAUUGAGGUUACCUCGGAGGAGAAUAGCUCCGGUAACGAUGGAGUCGUUCCUGUUAACAACAAAUUAGUGUUUCUCAAUGACGAUUACUUCAAUAUCGAAAUCUCUGCUUCUAAAGGAUUCAAUUUCAUCAAUCAAUCUGUACGAAUCAUCUCUUUAUCUCUUGAAAUUUUUCAGAUCUGGAAAAAUGAAUUUUAGAUCUGAGUUGAGUUUUUUUUUUUUUCUGUAGGAUUUGUCGAGAUCUUUAGAUGUAGCGUUGGUUCCUGAAAGUGGAGGAGGAGCUACGACGGUGACGGUGACGACGCCAGUAGUGCAGUUGUCGCCGGCGGAGAGAGAAGCGAGGGUUUUGAGGUAUAGAGAGAAGAGGAAGAAUAGGAAGUUUGAGAAGACGAUAAGGUAUGCGUCGCGUAAAGCUUACGCUGAGAUGAGGCCGAGGAUUAAAGGACGUUUUGCUAAGCGUACUGAGUCGAGAGGUGACGAUGGUGGUGGAGACGGCGGAGUUUAUGGCGGUUUCGGC